UACGGGGGGAGCAAGCGUUGUCCGGAAUUACUGGGCGUAAAGCGCGCGUAGGCGGCGCGGUAAGUCAGAUGUGAAAGCCCCGGGCUCAACCUGGGAAUGGCAUUUGAUACUGUCGAGCUAGAGUGUGAUAGAGGGUGGCGGAAUUCCCGGUGUAGCGGUGAAAUGCGUAGAGAUCGGGAAGAACACCGAUGGCGAAGGCAGCCACCUGGGUCAACACUGACGCUGAGGUGCGAAAGCGUGGGGAGCAAACAGG
Molecule: ribosomal RNA, 253 nt
Filed under: uncultured bacterium
Lineage: Bacteria
Description: partial 16S ribosomal RNA
Rfam family: Bacterial small subunit ribosomal RNA
Source: RNAcentral